This 377-nucleotide ribosomal RNA is filed under the name uncultured bacterium. RNAcentral describes it as "bacterial SSU rRNA". It matches the Rfam family "Bacterial small subunit ribosomal RNA", at positions 521 to 896 of the family's 1533-position model. The record is from RNAcentral.
UAAGACGUAGUCCUCAAGCGUUAUCCGGAUUUAUUGGGCGUAAAGCGUCUGUAGGCGGUUUUGUAAGUCUGUUGUUAAAGACCAGGGCUUAACCUUGGAAAUGCGGCAGAUACUGCGAGACUUGAGGGCGUUAGAGGGGAGCGGAACGCUCGGUGUAGGGGUGAAAUCCGUUGAUAUCGAGCGGAACACCAAAAGCGAAGGCAGCUCCCUGGAGCGGCCCUGACGCUGAGAGACGAAAGCCAGGGGAGAGAAGAGGAUUAGAUACCCUCGUAUUCCUGGCUGUAAACGAUGGACACUAGCUAUUGGCAGUGUCGACCCUGUCAGUGGCGAAGCUAACGCGUUAAGUGUCCCGCCUGGGAAGUACGCCGGCAACGGUA